This 468-nucleotide ribosomal RNA is filed under the name uncultured bacterium. Its description in RNAcentral is "partial 16S ribosomal RNA". It matches the Rfam family "Bacterial small subunit ribosomal RNA", at positions 28 to 507 of the family's 1533-position model. The record is from RNAcentral.
GACGAACGCUGGCGGCGUGCUUAACACAUGCAAGUCGAACGGAAAGGCCCUGCUUUUGUGGGGUGCUCGAGUGGCGAACGGGUGAGUAACACGUGAGUAACCUGCCCUUGACUUUGGGAUAACUUCAGGGAACUGGGGCUAAUACCGGAUAGGAGCUCCUGCUGCAUGGUGGGGGUUGGAAAGUUUCGGCGGUUGGGGAUGGACUCGCGGCUUAUCAGCUUGUUGGUGGGGUAGUGGCUUACCAAGGCUUUGACGGGUAGCCGGCCUGAGAGGGUGACCGGCCACAUUGGGACUGAGAUACGGCCCAGACUCCUACGGGAGGCAGCAGGGGGGAAUAUUGCACAAUGGGCGGAAGCCUGAUGCAGCAACGCCGCGUGCGGGAUGACGGCCUUCGGGUUGUAAACCGCUUUCGCAUGUGACGAAGCGUGAGUGACGGUAAUGGGUAAAGAAGCACCGGCUAACUACGUG